CUUGUGUUUCCUUAUUAAUUUUCUGUCUGGAUGAUCUGUCCAUUGGUGUAAGUGAGUUGUUAAAGUCCCGCACUAUUAUUGUGUUACUGUCGAUUUCCUGUUUUAUAGCUGUUAGCAGUUGCCUAUGUAUUGAGGUGCUCCUAUGUUGGGUGCAUAUAUAUUUAUAAUUGUUAUAUCUUCUUCUUGGAUUGAUCCCUUGAUUAUUAUGUAGUGUCCUUCCUUGUUUCUUAUAACAUUCUUUAUUUUAAAGUCUAUUUUAUCUGAUAUGAGUAUAGCUACUCCAGCUUUCUUUUGAUUUCCAUUUGCAUGGAAUAUUUUUUUCCAUCCUCACUUUCAGUAUGUAUGUGUCCCUAGGUCUGAAGUGGGUCUCUUGUAGACAGAAUAUAUAUGGGUCUUGAUUUUGUAUCCAUUCAGCAAGCCUGUGUCUUUUGGUUGGAGCAUUUAAUCCAUUCAUGUUUAAGGUAAUUAUCAAUAUGUAUGUUCCUAUGACCAUUUUCUUAAUUAUUUUGGGUUCAUUUUUGUAGAUCCUUUUCUUCUCUUGUGUUUCCCACUUAGAGAAGUUCCUUUAGCAUUUGUUGUAGAGCUGGUUUGGUGGCGCUGAAUUCUCUUAGCUUUUGCUUGUCUAUAAAGCUUUUGAUUUCUCCCUUGAAUCUGAAUGAGAUCCUUGCUGGGUAGAGUAAUCUUGGUUGUAGUUUCUUCCCUUUCAUCACUUUAAGUAUAUCUUGCCACUGCCUUCUGGCUUGUAGAGUUUCUGCUGAGAAAUCAGCUGUUAACCUUAUGGGGUUCCCUUGUAUGUUAUUUGUCGUUUUUCCCUUGCUGUUUUCAAUAAUUUUUCUUUGUCUUUAAUUUUUGUCAGUUUGAUUACUAUGUGUCUCAGCAUGUUUCUCCUUGGGUUUAUCCUGUAUGGGACUCGCUGCGCUUCCUGGACUUGGGUGGCUAUUUCCUUUCCCAUGUUAGGGAAGUUUUCGACUAUAAUCUCUUCAAAUAUUUUCUCAGGUCCUUUCUCUCUCUCUUCUCCUUCUGGGACCCCUAUAAUGCGAAUGUUGUUGCGUUUAAUGUCCCAGAUGUCUCUUAAGCUGUCUUC
This is a long non-coding RNA of Orcinus orca (killer whale), 1084 nucleotides long. RefSeq lists it as uncharacterized. Lineage: Eukaryota; Metazoa; Chordata; Mammalia; Artiodactyla; Delphinidae. The transcript is spliced from 2 exons. The record is from RefSeq and is a predicted model, not a curated record.